CGGGGCGUAGCGCAGCAUGGUUAGCGCGCUUGGUUCGGGACCAAGAGGCCGGUGGUUCAAAUCCACUCGCCCCGA
RNAcentral lists this transfer RNA (75 nucleotides) under candidate division TA06 bacterium B3_TA06. RNAcentral's name for it is "tRNA-Pro". It matches the Rfam family "tRNA". Rfam says of the family: Transfer RNA (tRNA) molecules are approximately 80 nucleotides in length. Their secondary structure includes four short double-helical elements and three loops (D, anti-codon, and T loops). The record is from RNAcentral. RNAcentral also lists the same sequence under 1 other name.